RNAcentral lists this ribosomal RNA (496 nucleotides) under uncultured bacterium. RNAcentral's name for it is "partial 16S ribosomal RNA". It matches the Rfam family "Bacterial small subunit ribosomal RNA", at positions 28 to 506 of the family's 1533-position model. The record is from RNAcentral.
GAUGAACGCUGGCGGCGUGCCUAAUACAUGCAAGUCGAGCGAACGGACGAGAAGCUUGCUUCUCUGAUGUUAGCGGCGGACGGGUGAGUAACACGUGGAUAACCUACCUAUAAGACUGGGAUAACUUCGGGAAACCGGAGCUAAUACCGGAUAAUAUUUUGAACCGCAUGGUUCAAAAGUGAAAGACGGUCCUGCUGUAACUUAUAGAUGGAUCCGCGCUGCAUUAGCUAGUUGGUAAGGUAACGGCUUACCAAGGCAACGAUGCAUAGCCGACCUGAGAGGGGGAUCGGCCACACUGGAACUGAGACACGGUCCAGACUCCUACGGGAGGCAGCAGUAGGGAAUCUUCCGCAAUGGGCGAAAGCCUGACGGAGCAACGCCGCGUGAGUGAUGAAGGUCUUCGGAUCGUAAAACUCUGUUAUUAGGGAAGAACAUAUGUGUAAGUAACUGUGCACAUCUUGACGGUACCUAAUCAGAAAGCCACGGCUAACUACGU